CGCCCGGCGGCAAAUUCCACCCUCGGGCGGUCCAGGGCGAGGAGUAGGCACGUAGCGUUGGCGUUGGGCGGAUUUGCGAUUUGAGGGAAACCGCCGGGCGGUAGACCCCUACCGCCGGGCGGUAGUGCGAUUUGUGGGAAACCGCCGGGCGCCACACUUGUUCCACUGGGCGAUUGUCUGUUGGUCUUGGGCCUGUUUUCUGUUGCGCUCCUCACC
RNAcentral lists this long non-coding RNA (216 nucleotides) under Vigna radiata. RNAcentral describes it as "long non-coding RNA (VRAD_LNC016767)". The record is from RNAcentral. Lineage: Eukaryota; Viridiplantae; Streptophyta; Magnoliopsida; Fabales; Fabaceae.